This 4332-nucleotide long non-coding RNA is filed under the name Sus scrofa (pig). RNAcentral describes it as "lncRNA (ENSSSCG00000057503.1)". The record is from RNAcentral. Lineage: Eukaryota; Metazoa; Chordata; Mammalia; Artiodactyla; Suidae.
AAGAAGGGAAGGAGGAAAGGAAGGAAGGAAGAAGAAAAAUGAGAAAAAGAAACAAGAUAAAUGAACUACUUUUUUGAAUAUUACCAUUUUCAAAGAGAUUAUGGGGGGUUAGCAAGUAUAUAUAUAAUUUAUUGUAUUUUCUUUGUAAGAUCUAUUAUAAUACAAAUGAUAAUGUAAAAAUUGGGAUUAUUCCUACAAGUAGAUAUUUGGAUUAUAAUGUGUGUCUCUGCAACAUUGAAACUUUUCUUUUUAAUAGGCAUGUAUUGGAUUAAUUGUCUUAUUUUUAUCACUUCACUUUAGGGAUCUGAUUGUAAAGCAAUGUGAUUAAUUUGAAAACACUGUUUAAAAUACAUUUUGUUAAAUAUUUCAAUUUUAAGGGAAAUUGAUUUUCUAAUUAAGUACCCUAUAAUGUUUAAAAUAUUAGCAUUAGGCAUAUGCAUAGAUACAUUUGAUAUUUUUACAGAAGCCUGCAUCAUUUAAAUAACUUAAUAUAGAUAUAUUGAUGGUAAUAAAAACAUGAGAGUUGAUUUCAUCAUUUGUUCAUUAGUAACCAUUUUCAUAUACAUCAAAACACUAUUAAAUCAUUGAUGAGUUUUUUCAUUAAAGAGACUGAUGAUAAGGUGAAAAUAGUAUUUUUAAAAGCAUAAUGUAAAUAUAUCAAUGGAUACACUUAUUUUUAUCAGUGAGUUUUACUGACAUAUAACACAUACAGAAGAGUUUACUCAUCAUUAGUUCAAUGAAUUUUUGCAAUGUGAACACACCAUGCAGUUACCAAACAAAUUAACAGCCAGACAAUUACCAGCACAUCAGAGCCCUGGUGUCAGUCUCUAGCCAGUCCAACCCAAAAGAAACCAUUACACUGACAUCUGAUGUUGCUGACUGUAGAUUAGUUCCAUCUGUUUAUAAAUUUGUUCUUUUGGUUUGUUCACUCUAUGUUAUGUUCCUAAGAGUCACUUAUCUUGCAAGAUGUAAGUGUUCUUUCAUUCUCAUUCUUUACAGUAGUCUGUAUGGAGAGAUGAUUUAUAUAUCUAUCUUACUAUUGAUGGACUUUUGGUUGUUUCCAAGGUUUUACUAUUAUAAAUAGUUCAGAUAAAAACACUUUUAUAUAUUCAUUUUGGGCAUAAUGUGCACAUAUCUAUUUUGUAUUCUCUUAGAAUGGAAUUAUUAAGUCACAGGUUAUUUCUAGAUUCAAUUUUUCUUCCUCCCUCUUUUUCUUUUUUUUUUUUUUUCUUUCAUUUCCUUUCCUUUUUCAUUUUUCCUUCCUUCCUUCUACUGUGCUGGUAAUUCCAGCUUUUGAUUUAUUAAAAAACUUAUUAAAAUACACAGGGGCUUCUAGAAUUUCCCCUGCAAUGCUAAGGUAAAAGAACAUGUUACCUCUACCUCAUUUAUAGUUUUUACUAUCGUGUUUUAUUUUCUAUGUGUGUUUUAAAAGGCAUAUUAUUACUGUUUGUAAUGGUAUUCAUUGGAUUCACCCACAUACUGACAUUUGUAUAUCUCUUCAUUUUUUUCCUAUUUUAUAUAGGAAAUGUAUGUUGUUAUUUACAUAGGAAAUAUAUAUUGCAUAUGGAAACAUUUUUAUUUUGACUGAAUAGCUCCUUUUAGCAUUCCUUUUAGUGUUUUUAUUCUGGAAAAUAUUUUUUUAAACUUUUUGGAAGUAUGUUUCUUUUACUUUUACUUUAUUAUUUUUAUUUAUUUUUUAUUCUGGCAGGAUAUGCACAUGUACAGAUUUAAGAAACUCACAAGAUUUACAGUGAAAUGUAAAUAUUGCUACAGGUACCCAAGUCAGUUAGCUGCCCUCUUGAGAGGCAACUGCUAUUAUCAGUUUCUUAUGAAAACUGAAAUUAUUCUAUGUACCGAUCAACAUAUUCCAAUACUUAUAUAGUCAUCCAACUAUCUAUUUAUCUAUCUAAUCAACUGUCUAUUUUCAUCAUCAUCUAGCUAUAUACAAAUAGUGGAAUAUGAUAUAUACUUUUAAAAUUCUUUUUAAUUUUAAAUCAAUUUUAUUGAGAUAUAAUUCACGCAAAAUGGCAUAUACACUUUUUAACUCUACGGUUUGAUGCACUUUAGCAAAGAUACGCUGUCUGUAUAAUCAUCACCAUAAUCAAGAUAUAGAACAUUUCCGUUUUUCCCCAAAUUGUUCUUAUUUCUAGAUCGAUCCAUAUUACUCAUCAGUCCCUGGCUCCAAACAACUGUGAAAGAUUUUUGUCAAUAAAUAUUAGAUAUGUAUUUUCUAGAGUUUAGCAUAAAUGGAAUUAUGUCAGAGACUUAAGAUGGAGAGUUAGUUGAUUUGAGGUCUAUCUUCCUUGUUAAAUGUAAUUAUUCAUAGCUAUAAAUUUCCUUUUAAAUACUGCUUCACUUGUAUCCUAAAAGUCUGGUAUAUUGCACAUUUAUCUUCAUCUGUCUCAAAGUCUUUUCUAUUUGGUCUUGUAUUUUUUUUCCUUAACAUAUUGGUUGUCUGGAAUUGUGUUGUCCAAAUUCCAUAUGUUGGUGAAUUUCCUAAAUUUAUUUUUGUUAUUAAUUUCUAAUUUCAUUCCAAGUGUUUAGGGAAUAUACUUUGUAAAAUUUCAGCUCUUUCAAAUUUAUUAAUAAAGCUUGUUUAUAGCCUAGAAUAUGAUCUGAUGGAGAAUAUUAUAUUGGUACUUAAGAAAAAUGUAUGUUUUUCUGGGUGUGGGUUCUAUAGAUGUAUGGUAGAUCUAUUCUGUAGAGUAGUGUUGCUCAAAUUUUCUAUUACCUCUUUGUCUUAUAUUCAUUUAUUAGUCUUUUUUUCUGAUAUUAGCAUAGCUCUUCCAGUUUUUCUAAAGGUUACUGUUCUUUCUUAUUUCGUAUCAUUUUCUAUUCUUAACUUUCAACCCCUUUAUAUAUUUAAAUCUAAAGUGUAUCUUCUAUAGACAGCAUGUAGUUGGAUCUUGCUUUUUGUCCAUUCUGACAAUCUCUGCCUUUUGAUCAUAUUGUUAUUCCAUUCAUGUUUAAUGUUAUUAUUACUAUGUUUAGAUUUACAUCUGCCAUUUUAUUUCUCAUUUUCUAUAUAUGUCAUGUCUUUUGGGGGGAUAAAGCUUUUUUCCUAUGGGUGGGGGCUGGAUGGAUGAAGAAGACCCCCAACCUUCAACCACAUUCAUGAGGAAUUUAGUUUCUUCAACUUAGAGUCAUAGGAGAUGAGAAAUUCCAGCGCCUGAGGGAGCCCUAUCUUAUAGACCAUACCUACCUAGAUUGGAAUUUCCAUCAAAAAUGAGUUUGGGUAAAGGGGUAGAGGGAGAAGAGUAUAGGUCAAAUGCCAUAAACUCUUACUAUUUUUACCAAGUUUUAGUAGAUUUUACUUUUUUUAAUCAUUUACUCCAUGCCCUUAGAUAAUUUCCAGAGAUUUUAAAUGGUUGGUUUCUUUUGUAAUUUUUAUCACCUUUGCUUAUUUCCCUUGGAAGUGAGUCUGCAUAACUCCUCAUACUACAUCUCCCAACGUGGAACCAUUUACCUUCUCCUUUGAGGGCCAUUUUGCUGAAUAAAGAAUUCUGUGUUAGCAGUUACUUCCUUUUGGAACUUUAAAUAUGCUGACUAUUGAAGAUUCCAUACUUUUAGCUUCACUUCUUUUCCUUUUUUCUAGUACCUUGAACCCCCAAUUACUGCCUGCAUCAGCUGUAUUUCAAAAUAUUUAAAUAUAUUUUUAAUGUAUUCAAGUUUUCGAGAAUAUAGGAAAAACAUUCUCUUAUAUAAAUCAUAGCAAUGUUUUCUCAGGUCAGUCUCCCAAGGCAAUAAAAAUAAAAGCAAAAAAUAAACGAAUUGGACCUGAUUAAACUUAAAAGCUUUUGCACAGCAAAAUAAGUCAUAAAACAAAAAGACAACUUACAGACUGGGAAAAAAUAUUUGUAAGCAGUGAAACCAACAAGGGCCUGUUUUCCAAAAUAUACAAACAACUCAUACAAUUCUAAAAACAAGCAAACAAACAAGCAAAAAAACCCACAACCCAGUAAAAAAUGUGCAGAAGACCUAAACAAACAUUUGUCCAAAGAAGACAUACAGAUGGCCAAUAGGCACAUGAAAAGAUGUGCAACAUUGCUAAUUAUUAGGAAAUGCAUAUCAAACUACAGAGUUAUUGAGAGUUCCUGUUGUGGCUCAGCAGUAAUGAAUCUGACUAGUAUCCACGCAGAUGUGGGUUCAGUCUCUGGCCUUGCUCAGUGGAUUACAGAUCUAGCAUUGCCAUGAUCUGUGGUAUAGGUCGCAGACAUGACUUGGAUCUGGCAUUGCUGUUGCUGUGGUGUAGGCUGGCAGGUGCAGCUCCCAUUCAACCCCUAGCCUGGGAAUAUCCAUAUACUGCAUGUGUGGCCCUAAAAAGCAAAAAAC